CCCGUUCACCACGGGAGUCCGGUGCGCCGGGCUGAGAGGAAGGCGCGCGAGCCUUCGACCGUCCACACCUGAUCCGGGUCAUGCCGGUGUAGGGAGAGAUGAUGUUUCGAC
RNAcentral lists this non-coding RNA (111 nucleotides) under Saccharothrix sp. RNAcentral describes it as "TPP sequence". It matches the Rfam family "TPP riboswitch aptamer (THI element)". Rfam says of the family: Vitamin B(1) in its active form thiamin pyrophosphate (TPP) is an essential coenzyme that is synthesised by coupling of pyrimidine and thiazole moieties in bacteria. RNAcentral also lists the same sequence under 1 other name. The record is from RNAcentral. Lineage: Bacteria; Bacillati; Actinomycetota; Actinomycetes; Pseudonocardiales; Pseudonocardiaceae.